This 490-nucleotide ribosomal RNA is filed under the name uncultured bacterium. RNAcentral's name for it is "bacterial SSU rRNA". It matches the Rfam family "Bacterial small subunit ribosomal RNA", at positions 1 to 507 of the family's 1533-position model. The record is from RNAcentral.
AAGAGUUUGAUCAUGGCUCAGGACGAACGCUGGCGGCGUGCCUAACACAUGCAAGUCGAGCGGGGUCCAUCCAGUGGCAACACUGGGGAAGACCUAGCGGCGAACGGGUGAGUAACACGUGAGAAACCUGCCCUGAAGUCUGGGAUAACCCGAGGAAACUCGAGCUAAUACCGGAUGCCCCCACCGAGUCGCAUGGCUUGGUGAGGAAAGAUUCAUCGCUUCAGGAGGGUCUCGCGGCCUAUCAGCUAGUUGCGGGGUAACGGCCCACCAAGGCAUCGACGGGUAGCUGGUCUGAGAGGACGAUCAGCCACACUGGGACUGAGACACGGCCCAGACUCCUACGGGAGGCAGCAGUGGGGAAUAUUGCGCAAUGGGCGAAAGCCUGACGCAGCAACGCCGCGUGCGGGAUGACGGCCUUCGGGUUGUAAACCGCUUUCAGUGGGGACGAAAACAGACGGUACCCACAGAAGAAGCCCCGGCCAACUACGUG